Molecule: ribosomal RNA, 792 nt
Filed under: uncultured archaeon
Lineage: Archaea
Description: bacterial SSU rRNA
Rfam family: Archaeal small subunit ribosomal RNA
Source: RNAcentral
ACUGCUCAGUAACACGUGGAUAACCUACCCUCAGAUCUGGGAUAACUCCGGGAAACUGGGGAUAAUACCGGAUAAUCCGUGAACGCUGGAAUGCCUCACGGUUCAAAGCUUUUGCGUCUGAGGAUGGGUCUGCGGCCGAUUAGGUAGUUGCUGGGGUAACGUCCCAACAAGCCGAUAAUCGGUACGGGUUGUGAGAGCAAGAGCCCGGAGAUGGAUUCUGAGACACGAAUCCAGGCCCUACGGGGCGCAGCAGGCGCGAAAACUUUACACUGCGCGAAAGCGCGAUAAGGGGAACUCGAGUGCGUGCGCAAUGCGUACGCUUUUCAGAUGCCUAAAAAGCAUUUGGAAUAAGGGCCGGGCUAGACCGGUGCCAGCCGCCGCGGUAACACCGGCGGCUCGAGUGGUGGCCGCUAUUAUUGGGCUUAAAGGGUCUGUAGCCGGACCAGUCAGUCCUUUGGGAAAUCUUACGGCUUAACCGUAAGGCUGCCAGAGGAUACUGCUGGUCUUGGGACCGGGAGAGGCAAGAGGUACCUCAGGGGUAGGAGUGAAAUCCUGUAAUCCUUGAGGGACCGCCAGUGGCGAAGGCGUCUUGCUAGAACGGGUCCGACGGUGAGGGACGAAAGCUAGGGGCACGAACCGGAUUAGAUACCCGGGUAGUCCUAGCCGUAAACGAUGCGAGCUAGGUGUCACGUGAAUUGCGAAUCCACGUGGUGCCGUAGGGAAACCGUGAAGCUCGCCGCCUGGGAAGUACGGCCGCAAGGCUGAAACUUAAAGGAAUUGGCGGGGGAGCAC